CCUACGGGGUGCAGCAGUGGGGAAUAUUGGACAAUGGGCGAAAGCCUGAUCCAGCCAUGCCGCGUGUGUGAAGAAGGCCUUCGGGUUGUAAAGCACUUUCAGUGGGGAAGAAAGCCUUGGGGCUAAUACCCUCGAGGAAGGACAUCACCCACAGAAGAAGCACCGGCUAACUCCGUGCCAGCAGCCGCGGUAAUACGGAGGGUGCGAGCGAUAAUCGGAAUUACUGGGCGUAAAGCGCGCGUAGGCGGUCUGAUAAGCCGGUUGUGAAAGCCCCGGGCUCAACCUGGGAACGGCAUCCGGAACUGUCAGGCUAGAGUGCAGGAGAGGAAGGUAGAAUUCCCGGUGUAGCGGUGAAAUGCGUAGAGAUCGGGAGGAAUACCAGUGGCGAAGGCGGUCUUCUGGACUGACACUGACGCUGAGGUGCGAAAGCGUGGGUAGCAAACAGGAUUAGAUACCCGAGUAGUC
This 465-nucleotide ribosomal RNA is filed under the name Vreelandella stevensii. RNAcentral's name for it is "partial 16S ribosomal RNA". It matches the Rfam family "Bacterial small subunit ribosomal RNA", at positions 338 to 795 of the family's 1533-position model. Lineage: Bacteria; Pseudomonadati; Pseudomonadota; Gammaproteobacteria; Oceanospirillales; Halomonadaceae. The record is from RNAcentral.